This 272-nucleotide long non-coding RNA is filed under the name Lathyrus oleraceus (garden pea). RNAcentral's name for it is "Pisum sativum (pea) long non-coding RNA (PSAT_LNC018833)". Lineage: Eukaryota; Viridiplantae; Streptophyta; Magnoliopsida; Fabales; Fabaceae. The record is from RNAcentral.
UUCAUUAUCAUUGUUUUCAAUAUGUUAAGUUUAAAUUCCAGCAUUUUGAAUUCAAGAUGGAUAGUUGUGGCAUUCAAGUUUUGAUUUGCUAUUGAGAGUUUCACGCGAAUCACUAAUGUUUCAUGUGGAUUGAUGAUUUGACAAUGUCUUGACCAUUAUUACUUUAUAAAUGGAUGGUAAAGAUCCACUCCUUAAUUUUUUAUAUCAAAUUGGUCAUAAAUAAAAAAUAAAAAAUAAAAAUACACUAAUUUACCCCUCGGUUUUCAGCAAAG